Molecule: ribosomal RNA, 737 nt
Filed under: Stenotrophomonas sp. 110518_136_C_H1
Lineage: Bacteria; Pseudomonadati; Pseudomonadota; Gammaproteobacteria; Lysobacterales; Lysobacteraceae
Description: bacterial SSU rRNA
Rfam family: Bacterial small subunit ribosomal RNA
Source: RNAcentral
GCUCAGAGUGAACGCUGGCGGUAGGCCUAACACAUGCAAGUCGAACGGCAGCACAGUAAGAGCUUGCUCUUAUGGGUGGCGAGUGGCGGACGGGUGAGGAAUACAUCGGAAUCUACCUUUUCGUGGGGGAUAACGUAGGGAAACUUACGCUAAUACCGCAUACGACCUUCGGGUGAAAGCAGGGGACCUUCGGGCCUUGCGCGGAUAGAUGAGCCGAUGUCGGAUUAGCUAGUUGGCGGGGUAAAGGCCCACCAAGGCGACGAUCCGUAGCUGGUCUGAGAGGAUGAUCAGCCACACUGGAACUGAGACACGGUCCAGACUCCUACGGGAGGCAGCAGUGGGGAAUAUUGGACAAUGGGCGCAAGCCUGAUCCAGCCAUACCGCGUGGGUGAAGAAGGCCUUCGGGUUGUAAAGCCCUUUUGUUGGGAAAGAAAAGCAGUCGGCUAAUACCCGGUUGUUCUGACGGUACCCAAAGAAUAAGCACCGGCUAACUUCGUGCCAGCAGCCGCGGUAAUACGAAGGGUGCAAGCGUUACUCGGAAUUACUGGGCGUAAAGCGUGCGUAGGUGGUUGUUUAAGUCUGUUGUGAAAGCCCUGGGCUCAACCUGGGAAUUGCAGUGGAUACUGGGCGACUAGAGUGUGGUAGAGGGUAGUGGAAUUCCCGGUGUAGCAGUGAAAUGCGUAGAGAUCGGGAGGAACAUCCAUGGCGAAGGCAGCUACCUGGACCAACACUGACAC